RNAcentral lists this ribosomal RNA (228 nucleotides) under uncultured bacterium. RNAcentral describes it as "partial 16S ribosomal RNA". It matches the Rfam family "Bacterial small subunit ribosomal RNA", at positions 15 to 232 of the family's 1533-position model. The record is from RNAcentral.
GAUCCUGGCUCAGGAUGAACGCUAGCUACAGGCUUAACACAUGCAAGUCGAGGGGGCAGCAUGGUCUUAGCUUGCUAAGGCCGAUGGCGACUGGCGCACGGGUGAGUAACACGUAUCCAACCUGCCGUCUACUCUUGGACAGCCUUCUGAAAGGAAGAUUAAUACAAGAUGGCAUCAUGAGUUCACAUGUUCACAUGAUUAAAAGGUAUUCCGGUAGACGAUGGGGGA